Long non-coding RNA from Parus major (Great Tit), 785 nucleotides. RefSeq lists it as uncharacterized. Lineage: Eukaryota; Metazoa; Chordata; Aves; Passeriformes; Paridae. The record is from RefSeq and is a predicted model, not a curated record. The transcript has 2 exons.
CCUUGGCUCUGCUCAGAAGCAUGUCUGCAUUUGGGGAUUACAAAGGAAGGAGCAAACUGCUUUUUCUGAAUCCUGUCCUGCACUUCCACACCCUUGGCACAGCUUGCAUUCCGUGUUACUGUUUAAUGGACAUCGCUGAACUUGCCACUCUCUAUCCACAGCUUUUCCAGCCACUCAGUGCAGCCUACAAGUGUCCUAAAGGGACAGACAAGCCUGGAAAACUUCUUGGCUGGCAAUUUUCAAAGUGUUUUGUCCUUUUUCUCCAAAGAGAGGAUAAAGCCACAGUGAGAUGCAGACUUUACGACUUCCAAAUUGUUCUGACCAUGAAUACAGCAUACUGACUUCAAACUAGAGAGCAUAUGUCCAGGUGAGGCACGUCACCUCUGCAUGCAAGUCCUUCUCAUCUCCCCUGCUCUCUUUCAUCCCUAGUUCAAGGUGUGAAGCCUAACCUCAACACAAUGAAUGGAUCAUGGCCAGCAAGAGAAGACAGAACAAACCUCUGCCUCAGCUGAGGAGCUUCUCUGGAACAAUGGAGAUCAUAAAACACAUGACAAAGCUCUGUGCCUAGAGGAACUCAGGGUGAAAUCUGACCUUGGACAAAGAGCUGGAACAAAGACUGUCACCAUGAUGAUUAAGUGGGAUUGUUGCAUAAAUGUGAAGUUUAUCCUUUUUUAAGGGAAAUAUGAUCCACAAGCAUAGGCUGAAACAAAAAUAAAUGUUCAAAACCGUAACAGUGAUACGGAUACAAACUGUAUGCACUAUUAAAAUUAUUCGCAGAAAAGGAA